This 259-nucleotide ribosomal RNA is filed under the name uncultured bacterium. RNAcentral's name for it is "partial 16S ribosomal RNA". It matches the Rfam family "Bacterial small subunit ribosomal RNA", at positions 524 to 783 of the family's 1533-position model. The record is from RNAcentral.
UACGUAGGGUGCGAGCGUUAAUCGGAAUUACUGGGCGUAAAGCGUGCGCAGGCGGCGCGUUAAGACAGGUGUGAAAGCCCCGAGCUUAACUUGGGAAUUGCGCUUGUGACUGGCGUGCUGGAGUGUGGCAGAGGGAGGUGGAAUUCCGACGUGUAGCAGUGAAAUGCGUAGAGAUGUGGAGGAACACCGAUGGCGAAGGCAGCCUCCUGGGCCAGCACUGACGCUCAUGCACGAAGCGUGGGAGCAACAGGAAUUAGAU